Small nucleolar RNA from Pteronotus mesoamericanus, 214 nucleotides. RefSeq annotates it as small nucleolar RNA U3. The record is from RefSeq and is a predicted model, not a curated record. Lineage: Eukaryota; Metazoa; Chordata; Mammalia; Chiroptera; Mormoopidae. The transcript has a single exon.
AAGACUAUACUUUCAGGGAUCAUUUCUAUAGUUCGUUACUAGAGAAGUUUCGUUGAACGUGUGGAGCAUGCAAAACUGUGAGGAAGAGGUGCAGCAUUCUCUCCUGAGCGUGAGGCUGGCUUUUGGUGUUGCUUUUGUAAUUGCCAAUAACCAUUGACAAUCAUUCUUCUCUUCCGCUGGAAGAGUAAGAGGAAGGGAAUGUGGUCUGAGUGGU